This 443-nucleotide ribosomal RNA is filed under the name uncultured bacterium. RNAcentral's name for it is "partial 16S ribosomal RNA". It matches the Rfam family "Bacterial small subunit ribosomal RNA", at positions 338 to 795 of the family's 1533-position model. The record is from RNAcentral.
CCUACGGGAGGCAGCAGUGGGGGAUAUUGGACAAUGGGGGGAACCCUGAUCCAGCGACGCCGCGUGAGUGAAGAAGUAUUUCGGUAUGUAAAGCUCUGUCAGCAGGGAAGAAAGCAAUGACGGUACCUGAACAAGAAGCCCCGGCUAACUACGUGCCAGCAGCCGCGGUAAUACGUAGGGGGCAAGCGUUAUCCGGAAUUACUGGGUGUAAAGGGAGCGUAGACGGCUGUGCAAGUCUGGAGUGAAAGGCGGGGGCUCAACCCGCGGACUGCUCUGGAAACUGGAUGGCUGGAGUGCAGGAGAGGUAAGCGGAAUUCCGAGUGUAGCGGUGAAAUGCGUAGAUAGUAGGAGGAACACCAGUGGCGAAGGCGGCUUACUGGACUGUAACUGACGUUGAGGCUCGAAAGCGUGGGGAGCAAACAGGAUUAGAUACCCGUGUAGUC